RNAcentral lists this microRNA (21 nucleotides) under Zea mays. RNAcentral's name for it is "miRNA zma-miR164b". The record is from RNAcentral. Lineage: Eukaryota; Viridiplantae; Streptophyta; Magnoliopsida; Poales; Poaceae.
GUGGAGAAGCAGGGCACGUGC